Molecule: ribosomal RNA, 234 nt
Filed under: uncultured Allobrachymonas sp.
Lineage: Bacteria; Pseudomonadati; Pseudomonadota; Betaproteobacteria; Burkholderiales; Comamonadaceae
Description: uncultured Brachymonas sp. partial 16S ribosomal RNA
Rfam family: Bacterial small subunit ribosomal RNA
Source: RNAcentral
ACUGCCGGUGACAAACCGGAGGAAAGUGGGGAUGACGUCAAGUCCUCAUGGCCCUUAUAGGUGGGGCUACACACGUCAUACAAUGGCCGGUACAGAGGUAGCCAACCCGCGAGGGGGAGCCAAUCCCACAAAGCCGGUCGUAGUCCGGAUCGCAGUCUGCAACUCGACUGCGUGAAGUCGGAAUCGCUAGUAAUCGCGGAUCAGCAUGUCGCGGUGAAUACGUUCCCGGGUCUU